Molecule: ribosomal RNA, 465 nt
Filed under: uncultured bacterium
Lineage: Bacteria
Description: partial 16S ribosomal RNA
Rfam family: Bacterial small subunit ribosomal RNA
Source: RNAcentral
GACGAACGCUGGCGGCGUGCUUAACACAUGCCAGUCGAACGGAAAGGCCCCAGCUUGCUGGGGUACUCGAGUGGCGAACGGGUGAGUAACACGUGGGUGAUCUGCCCUGCACUCUGGGAUAAGCCUGGGAAACUGGGUCUAAUACCGGAUAGGACCGUGCUUUAGUGUGUGCGGUGGAAAGUUUUUCGGUGCAGGAUGAGCCCGCGGCCUAUCAGCUUGUUGGUGGGGUAAUGGCCUACCAAGGCGGCGACGGGUAGCCGGCCUGAGAGGGUGUACGGCCACAUUGGGACUGGGACACGGCCCAGACUCCUACGGGAGGCAGCAGUGGGGAAUAUUGCACAAUGGGCGCAAGCCUGAUGCAGCGACGCCGCGUGGGGGAUGACGGCCUUCGGGUUGUAAACCCCUUUCGGCAGGGACGAAGCUUUUGUGACGGUACCUGCAUAAGAAGCACCGGCUAACUACGUG